GAUGAAGAACGUAGCGAAAUGCGAUAACUAGUGUGAAUUGCAGAAUUCCGUGAAUCAUCGAGUCUUUGAACGCACAUUGCGCCCCCUGGUAUUCCGGGGGGCAUGCCUGUCCGAGCGUCAUUGCUGCCCAUCAAGCACGGCUUGUGUGUUGGGUCGUCGUCCCCCCCUCCGGGGGGGGACGGGCCCUAAAGGCAGCGGCGGCACCGCGUCCGAUCCUCGAGCGUAUGGGGCUUUGUCACCCGCUCUGUAGGCCCGGCCGGCGCUUGCCGAACGCAAAACAACCAUUCUUUCCAGGUUGACCUCGGAUCAGGUAGGGAUACCCGCUGAACUUAAGCAUAUCAAUAAGCGGGA
RNAcentral lists this unclassified non-coding RNA (351 nucleotides) under soil metagenome. RNAcentral describes it as "partial contains 5.8S ribosomal RNA, internal transcribed spacer 2, and large subunit ribosomal RNA". The stretch from base 1 to 120 matches the Rfam family "5.8S ribosomal RNA", at positions 35 to 154 of the family's 154-position model. The record is from RNAcentral.